AAUAGAUACCCUGGUAGUCCACGCCGUAAACGAUGAGUGCUAAGUGUUAGAGGGUUUCCGCCCUUUAGUGCUGCAGCUAACGCAUUAAGCACUCCGCCUGGGGAGUACGGUCGCAAGACUGAAACUCAAAGGAAUUGACGGGGGCCCGCACAAGCGGUGGAGCAUGUGGUUUAAUUCGAAGCAACGCGAAGAACCUUACCAGGUCUUGACAUCCUCUGACAACUCUAGAGAUAGAGCGUUCCCCUUCGGGGGACAGAGUGACAGGUGGUGCAUGGUUGUCGUCAGCUCGUGUCGUGAGAUGUUGGGUUAAGUCCCGCAACGAGUGCAACCCUUGAUCUUAGUUGCCAGCAUUUAGUUGGGCACUCUAAGGUGACUGCCGGUGACAAACCGGAGGAAGGUGGGGAUGACGUCAAAUCAUCAUGCCCCUUAUGACCUGGGCUACACACGUGCUACAAUGGAUGGUACAAAGGGCUGCAAGACCGCGAGGUCAAGCCAAUCCCAUAAAACCAUUCUCAGUUCGGAUUGUAGGC
Molecule: ribosomal RNA, 530 nt
Filed under: uncultured bacterium
Lineage: Bacteria
Description: bacterial SSU rRNA
Rfam family: Bacterial small subunit ribosomal RNA
Source: RNAcentral